Molecule: ribosomal RNA, 302 nt
Filed under: uncultured bacterium
Lineage: Bacteria
Description: partial 16S ribosomal RNA
Rfam family: Bacterial small subunit ribosomal RNA
Source: RNAcentral
GCAGCAGCCGCGGGAAUACAGAGGGUGCGAGCGUUAAUCGGAUUUACUGGGCGUAAAGCGUGCGUAGGCGGCUUUUUAAGUCGGAUGUGAAAUCCCUGAGCUUAACUUAGGAAUUGCAUUCGAUACUGGGAAGCUAGAGUAUGGGAGAGGAUGGUAGAAUUCCAGGUGUAGCGGUGAAAUGCGUAGAGAUCUGGAGGAAUACCGAUGGCGAAGGCAGCCAUCUGGCCUAAUACUGACGCUGAGGUACGAAAGCAUGGGGAGCAAACAGGAUUAGAUACCCCAGUAGUCCCUGUCUCUUAUAC